Pipistrellus kuhlii (Kuhl's pipistrelle) is the source of this 93-nucleotide long non-coding RNA. RefSeq lists it as uncharacterized. The record is from RefSeq and is a predicted model, not a curated record. The transcript is spliced from 3 exons. Lineage: Eukaryota; Metazoa; Chordata; Mammalia; Chiroptera; Vespertilionidae.
AGUGGAUAGAGCGUCGGCCUGCGGACUGAAAGGUCCCGAGUUCGAUUCCGGUCAAGGGCAUAUGCCCGAGUUGGGGGCUUAAACCCUAGUAGG